This 2877-nucleotide long non-coding RNA is filed under the name Homo sapiens (human). RNAcentral describes it as "HSALNT0184090". The record is from RNAcentral. Lineage: Eukaryota; Metazoa; Chordata; Mammalia; Primates; Hominidae.
CUUCUGCCGGAGCUUCCGCUGUUAAAUCCACUUCAAGAGGCAACUAGAAGGAAAGAAGAAAAACAAAUUCCUUCAACUGGCUCUUGCCCUCCGCUGCUUCUCCCUGACUCACAGAUUGCGAUUCCUGGAAAAUCGCAUUUGACAUCCUCCAUCCAUCACGCCUUCUAGGUCCUGUAACUCCAUGAGCAGGAGGAGCCAAACAAUUUCAUGUUCUGUGUUAGUGAAGUUUUGAUAAAAAGGAAUCCUUCUUUGGUUUUGACUUAGGGCAGAUGUUCUGUAAAAUCGCAUUUGAAUCUUUCCUGGGCUGCUGGGUCUGUCUUUGCUGCCUCCUUGUCCUUUUUCCACGGAAAUGAGCACACACAGUCUCUGUGGAGGUCUGUACCUUCCCAACCCUUUCUGCCAGGGCCACCCCUGCAAAUCGCGCUCGUCACUGAGGGAGCCUCGGGCACGCUGUGGCAUCACGAAGAACCCUUCAAACGACAGAGGGAAGAACCCUUGGGAGGCACGGACGCCGGCUGCCAGCCAAGGCUGCAAGGAAUCUUCCAGAACGGGGCUGCUCUGCAUCUCAUCAACAUGAGAAGGGACAGUCCUGUGCUGCGUGGCACAGGGCAAAUGGUUUCAUUUCCACACGGAUUCCUACAGAAAUCCAGAACAUUUUUACUUGGGAAAACAUCUCUCAAUUCAUAAAACUGAUGCUGAUGGAAUAAUUGUUUGAAUAUGAGGGAUUAAGAUGAUUACAUUUUGACCUGAAAAUGAAAAUUAUAGUGCAGAUUUCAUGUCUACAUUGAAAGAUAAAUGAGUAGUUUAAAAAGAAAUGAGCUUUGGCCAGGCACGUUGACUCAUGCCUGUAAUCCCAGCACUUUGGCAAGCCGAAGCAGAUCACUUGAGUCCAGGGGUUCAAGACCAGCCUGGCCAAAAUGGCAAAAAUACAAAAAUACAAAAAAAAAAAAUCGAAGGAACUCCUGAGUAACAGCCUGUCUCUACUAAAAAUACAAAAAAAAAAAAAAAAAAAUUAGCUGGGCAUGGUGGCACACACCAACAAUCCCAGCUACUCGGGAGGCUGAGGCAGGGAGAAUCACUUAAACCUGGGAGACAGAGGUUGCAGUGGGCGGAGAUCGCACCACCGCACUCCAGCCUGGGCGACAGAGCAAGACUGUGUCUCAAAAAAAAGAAACGAGCUUUGAAAAAUAUGAAAGACUGGCGAUACCAAGUGCUGUCAAAGAUACAGAACAAUUGGAACUUACGCAAUGCCACGUGGGGUGUGAAUUAAUACAACCAUACAGGAAAACGGGAAGAACCUACUAAAACUAAACACGUACCUAUCUUCUCCCCCAAUAAUUCCCAACAAAAAUGAGUGCAACUGUACAGCAAAAGAAUGCUAACAGCAUCUCUAAUCGAAACAGCCACAAGCUACAAAAACCAAAAUGUCUACUAAGAAAAGACUAGAAAAAUAAAUUGCCACAUACUCAUGCAAAAGAAAAUUAUACAGCAAUGAAACUGCUGCUCGUACCAUGAAUGAAUCUCACAACCAUGCUGAAUUCAAGUAAGAUACAAAGAGUUCAAACUGUAGGAUUCCAAAAAAGUACAUAACAAUAAAAACAAAUUGGUGGCUUUCUUUGUUUUUUGUUUUGUUUUUUGAGAGAGGGUCUCGCUCUGUGGCCCAGGCUGGAGUGCAGUGGCGUAAUCACAGCUCACUGCAGCCUGGGCCUCCUAGGCUCAAAUGAUUCUCCCAGCCCAGCCUCCCAAGCAGCUGGGACUACAGGCGCCACCACCAGGCCCAGCUAAUUUUUAUUUUUAUUUUUAUUUUUAUUUCGUACAGACAGGGUCCCACUAUGUUGUCCUGGCUGGUCUCCAACUCUUGGGCUCAAGCAAUCCUUCUUCCUUGGCCUCUCAAGUGGUGGGAUUACAGGAGUGAGCCACCACACCCGGCCAAUCUGUGUUGUUAAAAGCGGUUUGCUCAGAGUGGGAAGGAGGGCAGGGGAUGGCAGUGACUGCAAGGAACACAGCUGGGCCUUCUCGGUACUGGCAGUGUCUUGAUUCAGAUGUUGGCUGUGUGGAUGUGUUUGGUUGGAAAAUUCAUCAAGCUGAGCAUGGAUGAUACGUGCACUCGUCUAACCUGUCUAUAUGUUCUUUUUCAUACUUCGGUCAAUUUUCUUAAAAUAUGAACUGUACAAUUCCACUUACAGUACAAUUCCAUUUGUGAACUUUACAUAUAUAAAGUUCAAAAACAGGAAAAAAUAAUCCAUGGAAGUCAGAAUAGAAGACAGGAUAGUAGUUACUUUUGAAAAAAGGAAAGCAAGGCAGUGACUGGAAGAGGGCAAAAUGGGGCUUCUGGGCUGCUGGUAAAGGUCUGAUUCUCUAUCUGGGAGGUGAACAGCUGUGCUCACUUAGGAAAUGGUGGCUCAUGCCUGUAAUCCCAACACUUUGGGAGGCUGAGGCAGGUGGAUCACUUGAGGUCAGGAGUUUGAGAUCACCCUGGCCAACAUGGCGAAACCCCAUUUCUACUAAAAGUAUAAAAAUUAGCCGGGCAUGGUGGCGGGCGCCUGUAAUCCCAGUUACUUGGGAGGCUGAGGCUGGAGAAUCGCUUGAACCCACGAGGCAGAGGUUGCAGUGAUCACAACAUUGCACUCCAGCCUCGGUGACAAGAGUGAAAUUCCGUCUCAACAACAAAAAAAGAGAAAUUUGGGGCCAGGCUCAGUGGCUCACACCUGUAAUCCCAGAACUUUGGGAGGCCAAGGCAGGUGGAUUGAUCACUUGAGCCCAGGAGUUUGAGACCAGCCUGGCCAACACAGCAAAACCCCGCUCUACUAAAAAAUACGAAACAUUAGUUGGGUGUGGUGGUGGGCGCCUGUAGUCCCAGCUACUCAGGAGGCUGAG